AGUAACUCUAGAGCUAAUACAUGCAUUCAUCCCCGACUUCUUGGAAGGGGUGUACUUAUUAGAUGGAAACCAAUGCGGGGCAACCCGGAAUCUGGUGAUUCAUAAUAAUUUUCGGAUCGAUCGUACGAUCGAUGCAUCAUUCAAGUUUCUGCCCUAUCAGCUUUGGAUGGUAGGGUAUUGGCCUACCAUGGCAUUAACGGGUAACGGAGAAUUAGGGUUCGGUUCCGGAGAGGGAGCCUGAGAAAUGGCUACCACAUCCAAGGAAGGCAGCAGGCGCGUAAACUACCCAAUCCUGACACAGGGAGGUAGUGACAAUAAAUAACAAUGCCGGGGUUUUUCAACUCUGGUAAUUGGAAUGAGUACAAUCUAAACCCCUUAACGAGGAUCAAUUGGAGGGCAAGUCUGGUGCCAGCAGCCGCGGUAAUUCCAGCUCCAAUAGCGUAUAUUUAAGUUGUUGCAGUUAAAAAGCUCGUAGUUGGAUUUCGGGCGGGCUCGGCUGGUCCGCCUAUCGGUGUGCACUGACCGAGCCCGUCUUGUUGCCGGGGACGGGCUCCUGGGCUUAACUGUCCGGGACUCGGAGUCGGCGAGGUUACUUUGAGUAAAUUAGAGUGUUCAAAGCAGGCCUACGCUCUGAAUACAUUAGCAUGGAAUAACACGAUAGGACUCUGGCCUAUCUUGUUGGUCUGUGGGACCGGAGUAAUGAUUAAGAGGGACAGUCGAGGGCAUUCGUAUUA
This 734-nucleotide ribosomal RNA is filed under the name uncultured eukaryote. Its description in RNAcentral is "SSU rRNA". It matches the Rfam family "Eukaryotic small subunit ribosomal RNA", at positions 151 to 899 of the family's 1831-position model. The record is from RNAcentral.